Molecule: ribosomal RNA, 924 nt
Filed under: uncultured bacterium
Lineage: Bacteria
Description: bacterial SSU rRNA
Rfam family: Bacterial small subunit ribosomal RNA
Source: RNAcentral
AGAGUUUGAUCAUGGCUCAGGACGAACGCUGGCGGCGUGCUUAACACAUGCAAGUCGAACGGGGAGUGCAGCAAUGUGCUCCAAGUGGCGAACGGGUGAGUAACGCGUAGACAACCUACCUUCUAGAUGGGGACAACACCGCGAAAGUGGUGCUAAUACCGAAUGUAGUAUGAAAGGCGCCUGCCAUUCAUACUAAAGGUGGCCUCUACAUGUAAGCUACCGCUAGAAGACGGGUCUGCGUCUGAUUAGCUAGUAGGCGGGGUAACGGCCCACCUAGGCGACGAUCAGUAGCCGGUCUGAGAGGAUGAACGGCCACACUGGGACUGAGACACGGCCCAGACUCCUACGGGAGGCAGCAGUGGGGAAUCUUCCGCAAUGGACGAAAGUCUGACGGAGCAACGCCGCGUGAGUGAGGAAGGCCUUCGGGUUGUAAAACUCUGUUGUCAGGGAAGAACACCCCUCAUGUGAAAAAUGUGAAGGGAUGACGGUACCUGACGAGGAAGCCACGGCUAACUACGUGCCAGCAGCCGCGGUAAUACGUAGGUGGCGAGCGUUGUCCGGAAUUAUUGGGCGUAAAGCGCGCGCAGGCGGGAUAUUAAGUCUCAUUUAAAAGUGCGGGGCUCAACCCCGUGAGGGGUGAGAAACUAAUAUUCUUGAGUGCCGGAGAGGAAAGCGGAAUUCCCAGUGUAGCGGUGAAAUGCGUAGAUAUUGGGAGGAACACCAGUGGCGAAGGCGGCUUUCUGGACGGUGUCUGACGCUGAGGCGCGAAAGCCAGGGGAGCGAACGGGAUUAGAUACCCCGGUAGUCCUGGCGGUAAACGAUGGGUACUAGGUGUAGGGGGUAUCGACCCCCCCCUGUGCCGGAGUUAACGCAAUAAGUACCCCGCCUGGGGAGUACGGCCGCAAAGUUGAAACUCAAAUGAAU